This 253-nucleotide ribosomal RNA is filed under the name uncultured bacterium. Its description in RNAcentral is "partial 16S ribosomal RNA". It matches the Rfam family "Bacterial small subunit ribosomal RNA", at positions 524 to 776 of the family's 1533-position model. The record is from RNAcentral.
UACGAAGGUCCCAAGCGUUAUCCGGAUUUAUUGGGUUUAAAGGGUGCGUAGGCGGGCUAUUAAGUCAGUGGUGAAAGCCCCAAGCUUAACUUGGGAACUGCCAUUGAUACUGAUGGUCUUGAGUACAUUUGAGGUGGGCGGAAUGUGUCAUGUAGCGGUGAAAUGCUUAGAUAUGACACAGAACACCGAUUGCGAAGGCAGCUCACUAAACUGAAACUGACGCUGAGGCACGAAAGCGUGGGGAGCAAACAGG